CCUCCGGCCCCGCCGGCGCCGCGCGCUCCAAAUCCGGCUCCCGGCCAGCGCCGGCUCGCAGUGCUGAUGCGCCCGCGGACCCGCCCCUUACCUGGGCCGCGCCCCGCGCUCCUCCUUAAAGGGGCCGUGCCCAGCCGCUGCCCUGCCAUCCGCGGCUACCCUAACUCCACCUGCUCUUGCUCCUCGUCCCCCGAGGGAGCGGACAAGUCCAGGAAGAGGACCGUGCGCGGGAAGAAGUCUGGAUUCCACCUGCUAAUUGUGUACAAAAACCUGAAGAAAGUAAAGUAACUGCAAGGCAUGGGACCUGAGCUAGUGGAGCCCCUGGGCUGCCUAUUUCUUUCCCAGUGGAGAAAAGAACUGAGCCUUACCCCAUCUAGACUGCCAGAGCCUGCUGUGAAACAGGUGAGACCACUUUCUGGUUGGUGUACCUUAAGGUAGUAUCUCCAGAGUGUGGUGUUCAGUACUGACAUAUCUCAGAGGGGAAGAGGGGGGAAGAUGGGAAGAGAUUAACCAAAGAACUUAUAUACAUACUAGAGACCUAUUGCACGAAAUUCAUGCACAGAGGGGGGAGUCCCUCAGCCCGGCCUGCGCCCUUUCUCAGUCCAAGAGCCCUUGGGGGAUGUCCAACUUUUGAACUUAUAAGCUGUCAAUCAGACAUCCUUAGCGCUGCUGUGGAGGUGGGAGAGGCUCCUGCCACUGCUGCUGUGCUCCGCAGCCAUGAGCCCGGCUUCUGGCUGAGCAGUGCUCCCCCUGUGGGAGUGCACUGACCAUCAGGGGGCAGCUCCUGCGUUGAGUGUCUGCCCCCUGGUGGUCAGUGCAUGUCACAGCGACCAGUCAUUCUGCCAUUCAGGCAAUGUGCAUAUUAGCCUUUUAUUAUAUAGGAUAUGCAUAACUAGUGGACACAGACAAUAGUGUGGUGAAAGCCUGUGGUGGGGCAGCCCUGGGAGGAGGAGGGCAAAAGGGGGCAACUUGGAGGACAUUUGUAAUACUGUGAACAAUUUAAAAAAAUAAGGGGAGCUAGAUAAUUAAAGAGAAGAGACUUUCUGUCCUCCAUAGCUAUUGCUCCACAUGGCAGGAAGGAUAGAGAAUAAUUAGGAUGGAGAAUAAACUCUCUGACUUGUAAUUUUGCCCCUUAAAGUUUGCAUAUUAUCUAUGGCUGCAUAACAAGUUGUCCUAAAACUUCUGUGAUUCAGGAAUCCAGGAACAGCUCAGUUGAGUGCCUCUGUGUCAAGAUCUCUCACAAGACUGCAGUGAAGGUGUUAGCUGGGGCUGCAGUCCUAGUUCAUGCCUGACUGGAAAAGGGUCUGUUUCUAAGGUUACUCACAAAGCUGUUGGCAGGACUCAGCCCUCAAGGGCUGUUGGACAGAGGGCCUUGGUUCUUUGCUGGCUGGAGGCCACCCUCUUGGCUAUGUGGGCCUCUCCAUAAGGCAACCCACAACAUGGCAGCUGCCUUCCAUCAGAGUGAGCAGGUGAGAGAGAAGGAGAUAGGGAAUAAGAAAAACAGAAAGAGAUCGAUGGAAGCCAACGUGUUUUUACCUAAUCUCAGAUGUGACAUUCCAUCGAUAUUGCCAUAUUCUGUUCAUUAGAAGUGAGUCACUUGGCUCAACCCACAAUCAAGGGAAUGAAGACCAGUAGCUAUCUAGUUCAAACCCCAAUUAAUGCCAAAGUUAUGCUAUUUCACCUUUGCAGAGCUCUCCCCUUCCCCAUAUCUGAGAUCCUCACCCACCAGGACUGAGUUAAGUGGCCCUUGAGCUGCCUCUAUGAUACCCUGGGCUUCUCCAUCAUAGCCUCCACCACACCAAUUACAGGGGCACAGUCUGCCUCCCACCCCUUCUGCAAGCUCUGUGCGGGCAGCAGCCUUGUCUCUUCUCCUCACUGAUGUGGACGCAGCCCUAAACUUAAGGCACUUAGUAUAUGUGUCGUCAAUUUAUUAACUUGAUGUUCUUUGUAAGACGGCUCCGUUUUCUCUUUCUUCUGAUUAAAACUGAAGUUUUAUUCUGAAAUCAUACAAAUGUUCACCUACAUUUUGUUCCUGCUUUGUGUGUUAAAACUGGUUAAAACUCCUCAGUUGGCUUUUUAUUACAAAAAGUAGGGAGUCCAGACUCAGAAUGGCUUUCGAAUAAGUCCCAUGUAUUGUCACUCCCUGACAAUGUGUGUCUCUCAAAUUGAUGUCUCUCUCCCCCUCCCUUCCACUCUCUCUAAAAAAAUCAAUGGGAAAAAUAUCCUGGAGUGAGGAUUAACAACAACAAAAGAAUCCAUAAGUAAAAAAAUAAAAAUCGGGGUUUUAUAUGUUUUAUAGCCCUUUAAAUUUUAUGGUUUUUUUCUAAAAUGCUUAAAGAAUUUAAAGUCUUUAUAUUUAGUUUGUCAGUGAUUAUAUUUUUCAUUAUGAAAUUUGGUAUUCAAAUUUUGCUUUGUGAUUUUCAUAGUAAUUAAAUUCUGAAAUCAUAGAAAUAUUCACCUACAUUUUGUUCUUGCUUUGUGUGUAAAUUUUUACAUAAAACUUACCAUUCUGGAAUGUAUUCUGAUGUAAGCUGUGCUAUAAGGAUUUAACUUUUUGCCCCAAAUAAGUAACCAAUUACUUCAGCAUAAUUUUUAAAUCAUGUUUCCUUUGUCUAUUGAAUUGAGGUGUCAUCUUUGUCAUAUAUAAAUGAAGUUUUAUGCUGUUGUGUUUUGCUUACUCUGUUCUGUAAAUCAAUCUGAAUAUUCCCACACCAACACCUCCUUAUUUACAAGUAUUUUAUAAUCACUUACAUCAUAAUAUUAGAAUCUGUUUUUCCAUAAACUUGCCAUGAUUAAGACAAAUAGGCCUUCUUUCAAACAGACUGUGGUGGUUUUAAAAUAUGUCCAUAAAUUCUUUGUUACCUCUUCCUUUAUAAGGAUCUCCUUAUACCCUUCCCUUUGAGCAUGGACUGUACUUACUAACUUAUUUUUAACAAACAGAAUGUGGAAGAAGUGAUACAUAUGACUUCUGAACCCAGUCAUCAGAGAUAUUGUGACCUCUCUCUGGGAGAAGCUGACAUGUCCUGAGAACAAUCAAGAAACCCUAUAGAGCCCUAGCCAGUUUGGCUCAGUGGAUAGAGCAUUGGUCCUCAGACUGAAGGGUCUCAGGUUCCAUUCCAGGUCAAGGGCACAUACCUUGGUUGCAGGCUGCAUCCUGGUCAGGGUGCAUCCCAACCCAGCGAGUGCAGGAGGCAACACAUCCAUGUGUCUCUCCCACAUCAAUGUUUCUUUCUGUCUGUCCCUCUCCCUUCCACUCUCUCUAAAAAUCAAUGGAAAAAUGUCCUUGGGUGAGGAUUAACAACAAUAACAAAAACAGGCAACUGGCCAGAUUCAACGAAGGGCUAUAGUUAGCCAACCCUUGGUUCAUAGGGCACCAAUUCUUUGAGACUUGAGGUUACCUAGCACAAGUUUUGUAGCACUCCAUGCAUACUUGCAAACCAAUUAAUUACCAUCUUAUCCUUGGACUGUUCCACUUCUUUAAGGUUCAGGCCCAGCACAUGUAAACAUUUGCUUUUGUUAAAUUGUCACAGGAUUAACAGAUUGGGUGUUUGGAAUCAGACGAAUCUCAGUUGCCAGCUUUGCCACUUGCCAAUAGGUGGUUUGGGACAAAUUACUUAACAUCUCUAAU
Eptesicus fuscus (big brown bat) is the source of this 3628-nucleotide long non-coding RNA. RefSeq lists it as uncharacterized. The transcript has 3 exons. NCBI's taxonomy places the organism in Eukaryota, Metazoa, Chordata, Mammalia, Chiroptera, Vespertilionidae. The record is from RefSeq and is a predicted model, not a curated record.